RNAcentral lists this ribosomal RNA (388 nucleotides) under Ovophis okinavensis (himehabu). RNAcentral's name for it is "partial 12S ribosomal RNA". The record is from RNAcentral. Lineage: Eukaryota; Metazoa; Chordata; Lepidosauria; Squamata; Viperidae.
UAAACUACCAAUUGUUCGCCAAACAACUACGAGUAGCACUUAAAACUUAAAAGACUUGACGGUGCUUCACCACGACCUAGAGGAGCCUGUCCAAUAACCGACAAUCCACGAUUAAUCCAACCCCUUCUAGCCCAACAGUCUAUAUACCGCCGUCGCCAGCUUACCUUGUAAAAGAAAUAAAGUGAGCUUAACAGUACCACACUAAAACGACAGGUCGAGGUGUAACUUAUGAAGGGGCUAAGAUGGGCUACAUUCUCCAACUAAGAAUACGGACAACACUAUGAAACUAGUGUUUAAAGGCGGAUUUAGCAGUAAGAUAAGAAUAAAACACUUAACUGAACAUGACGCAAUGAAGUGCGUACACACCGCCCGUCAUCCCUGUCAUCAC